Molecule: long non-coding RNA, 240 nt
Organism: Exaiptasia diaphana
Lineage: Eukaryota; Metazoa; Cnidaria; Anthozoa; Actiniaria; Aiptasiidae
Exons: 4
Source: RefSeq, a predicted model, not a curated record
AACACGAUGUUAGUUUGUCAAUAAAAGUAAGCCCUGCGAAAAAAAGAAAGCAAUUCGGUAUAAGUCCUGACACGACUGCUGUAAAGAAAGCGAAGUGCACCGAAUCCACAGCGACAGAUCAUCCAUCAGAGGAAAACUUUGUCGCAGUUGCUUAUACAGACAGCCCAUUGUUUUUUGUUGGUAAAAUUGUAGAUGAGACAAAGGGCAAUGUUCUGUCUGUUUCUUUUUUGGAAGAAGAUA